GUUUCCUACGGGGGGCAGCAGUGGGGAAUAUUGGGCAAUGGGCGCAAGCCUGACCCAACAAAGCCGCGUGAAGGAAGAAGGCUUUCGGGUUGUAAACUUCUUUUCUCAGGGACGAAGCAAGUGACGGUACCUGAGGAAUAAGCCACGGCUAACUACGUGCCAGCAGCCGCGGUAAUACGUAGGUGGCAAGCGUUAUCCGGAUUUACUGGUUGUAAAGGGCGUGUAGGCGGGAAAGCAAGUCAGAUGUGAACACAACGGGCUCAACCUAUGGCCUGCAUUUGAAACUGUUUUUCUUGUGUACUGGG
This 305-nucleotide ribosomal RNA is filed under the name uncultured bacterium. RNAcentral describes it as "bacterial SSU rRNA". It matches the Rfam family "Bacterial small subunit ribosomal RNA", at positions 334 to 653 of the family's 1533-position model. The record is from RNAcentral.